UAGGUGCGCACGCCCGUGUCCGCGGGAGAAAUCCUGGGGCCGCUUCCCGGGGCGCCCCGUCCCGAGGGCGCCGGAGCCGCAUGCGGGGAUGGGGGUCUGGAUCCCCUCGGGGCACAGAGCCCGUACCCCGGGGCGGGCAGAGCUGGGAGCUCAGCUCCCCGCCCGUGGCCCUCCGCCAGUAGCCCCUCUCCCCAAGACCUGAGCUCUUAAUGAGGGAUGGCGGUGGUUUCUUUAACUCUGAGACCCAACAGAGCAGAACUUUCCCAAGGCAGGAUCCUCCGGACGGUGCACUUAGACGGCGGCAAGAGAGCCUGCACACCCCCCGGGGACAGAGUUUGCCUCCUGAACUACACUUCUCUUACUGAAGAACAGUAGCUCCGACCUCCAAACCAACUGGGACUGGCGCUUUAAAGUAGCUGCGAACAGUGCUCCCGUGUCUCAACAUGGUCACGUAGGAGAUUUGAGCCUUUUAAUUUCCAGACACAAGCAAUAACUCCCUCGGAGCUCCGGCUUGGUUUAGGUUGCCGGUUGUUGGGUGUUUUGAGCAUCCCCUCUUCUGGCUGUUCCCAAAUCCUCCUCUGCCUUUCGCCACCUGCGAGGCAGAAAGGCCUUUACACUCCCAGCCGUCCUGGGCGCCGGCACUUUACUUGGCAGUGCGACUGAAGCGAAAUUCACGGCCGGGACUCCGGCUAAGGCAUUAGAGCAAACCCACCCGCAGCCGGGUACCCGCUGGGAUGCGCAGAGCGGGGUCGGCCAGUGCUUUGGGAACUGGUGGGACUGGCCACCCCCCACGCGGGGACAGCUUGGGGUGGCCGUGCCCCUGUGGGACAGGGAGAGGAGUUCGGCCAGGCUAAAAAUACCAUUUCUCCCUCAUUGUGCUGGUUCACGUGUGGGUCCUGCUCCUUCUGCAAAACCGAUUCCCCUUAUCGCAGCUCUAGAAACUAGUAGUGAUCAAGAUCUUGUGUAGCAGGACGGGGAAGUAGGCAAGCGUUUCCAUCUACUUACCUGGGCAUGGGAGGGAAGGUCGUGAAAGGCGCCGAUUGUGUGUGGAUUUUGGGGUUAAAAAGAGGUAACCUGAGGAAGGGGAGGGAGGAAAU
Molecule: long non-coding RNA, 1097 nt
Organism: Catharus ustulatus (Swainson's thrush)
Lineage: Eukaryota; Metazoa; Chordata; Aves; Passeriformes; Turdidae
Exons: 3
Source: RefSeq, a predicted model, not a curated record